RNAcentral lists this ribosomal RNA (463 nucleotides) under uncultured bacterium. Its description in RNAcentral is "SSU rRNA". It matches the Rfam family "Bacterial small subunit ribosomal RNA", at positions 26 to 518 of the family's 1533-position model. The record is from RNAcentral.
AGGACGAACGCUUGCGACGUGCCUAAGAAAUGCAAGUCGAACGAGGUAGCAAUACCUAGUGGCGAACGGUCGCGUAACACGUGGGCAACCUGCCCCAAAGUGGGGGAUAACAGCCUGAAAGGGCUGCUAAUACCGCAUGUGAACCCUUAUGGCAUCAUGGGGUGUUCAAAGCAGCAAUGCGCUUUGGGAUGGGCCCGCGGCCUAUCAGCUAGUUGGUGAGGUAACGGCUCACCAAGGCUUCGACGGGUAGCUGGUCUGAGAGGACGAUCAGCCGGAUUGGGACUGAGAUACGGCCCAGACUCCUACGGGGGGCAGCAAUUAGGAAUCUUGCGCAAUGGGCGAAAGCCUGACGCAGCGACGUCGCGUGGGGGAUGAAAUCUUUCGGGAUGUAAACCUCUUUCUCGGGAAGAAAAAAUGACGGUACCCGAGGAAUAAGCCCGGCUAACUACGUGCCAGCAGCCGC